Molecule: ribosomal RNA, 369 nt
Filed under: uncultured bacterium
Lineage: Bacteria
Description: bacterial SSU rRNA
Rfam family: Bacterial small subunit ribosomal RNA
Source: RNAcentral
ACGGAGGAUCCGAGCGUUAUCCGGAUUUAUUGGGUUUAAAGGGUGCGUAGGCGGCCUUUUAAGUCAGCGGUGAAAGUCUGUGGCUCAACCAUAGAAUUGCCGUUGAAACUGGGGGGCUUGAGUAUGUUUGAGGCAGGCGGAAUGCGUGGUGUAGCGGUGAAAUGCAUAGAUAUCACGCAGAACCCCGAUUGCGAAGGCAGCCUGCCAAGCCAUGACUGACGCUGAUGCACGAAAGCGUGGGGAUCAAACAGGAUUAGAUACCCUGGUAGUCCACGCAGUAAACGAUGAUCACUAGCUGUUUGCGAUACACUGUAAGCGGCACAGCGAAAGCGUUAAGUGAUCCACCUGGGGAGUACGCCGGCAACGGUG